GCUGGCGGCGUGGAUAAGACAUGCAAGUCGAACGAGACUUUUCGUUGUAGCAAUACGAUGGAAAGUUUAGUGGCGAACGGGUGCUUAACACGUGGGCAACCUGCCAUGAAGUGGGGGAUAGCUCGCCGAAAGGCGAAUUAAUACCGCAUGUGAUUAGAGAGGACAUCUUUUCAAAAUUAAAGUCGGGGCAACCUGACGCUUCUUGUGGGGCCCGCGGCCUAUCAGCUAGUUGGUGAGGUAACGGCUCACCAAGGCUUUGACGGGUAGCUGGUCUGAGAGGACGACCAGCCACACUGGGACUGAGACACGGCCCAGACACCUACGGGUGGCAGCAGUCGAGAAUUUUUGACAAUGGGGGAAACCCUGAUCGAGCGACGCCGCGUGGAGGAUGAAGGUCUUCGGAUUGUAAACUCCUGUCAUUUGGGAACAAGGUGCACACGUUAACUGCGUGCGUAUUGAUAGUACCAGAAGAGGAAGAGACGGCUAACUCUGUGCCAGCAGCCGCGGUAAUACAGAGGUCUCAAGCGUUGUUCGGAUUCAUUGGGCGUAAAGGGUGC
This 557-nucleotide ribosomal RNA is filed under the name uncultured soil bacterium. RNAcentral's name for it is "bacterial SSU rRNA". It matches the Rfam family "Bacterial small subunit ribosomal RNA", at positions 35 to 570 of the family's 1533-position model. The record is from RNAcentral.